RNAcentral lists this small RNA (576 nucleotides) under Pongo abelii (Sumatran orangutan). Its description in RNAcentral is "retained intron". Lineage: Eukaryota; Metazoa; Chordata; Mammalia; Primates; Hominidae. The record is from RNAcentral.
AGUCAUCGAGUUCCACCUCGGGGUGAACCACAUCGACACGGAGGAGCUGUCGGCGGGGGAGGAGCACCUGGUGAAAUGCCUGCGGCUGCUGCGCAGGUACCGGCUCUCGCACGACUGCAUCUCUCUCUGCAUCCAGGCGCAGAAUAACCUGGGUAUCUUGUGGUCUGAAAGAGAAGAAAUUGAAACUGCACAGGCUUACCUAGAGUCAUCAGAAGCACUAUAUAAUCAGUAUAUGAAAGAGGUUGGGAGUCCUCCUCUUGAUCCUACUGAGUGUUUUCUUCCUGAAGAAGAGAAACUUACUGAACAAGAGAGAUCAAAAAGAUUUGAAAAGGUUUAUACUCAUAACUUAUAUUACCUAGCUCAAGUCUACCAGCAUCUGGAAAUGUUUGAGAAGGCUGCUCACUAUUGCCAUAGUACACUAAAACGCCAGCUCGAGCACAAUGCCUACCAUCCUAUAGAGUGGGCUAUCAAUGCUGCUACCUUGUCACAGUUUUACAUCAAUAAGGUAAGCUUCUUGAAGUAGUUAUCUAACAGAGUACCAAUAGUGAGUAUAAAAAUAGAACCAGUAGUACCUUG